CCUACGGGAGGCUGCAGUGGGGAAUAUUGCGCAAUGGAGGGAACUCUUAUGCAGCAACGCCGCGUGAAUGAAGACGGUUUUCGGAUUGUAAAGUUCUAUAAUUGGGGAAGAAAGAAAUGACGGUACCCAAAUAAGAAGCCCCGGCUAACUACGUGCCAGCAGCCGCGGUAAUACGUAGGGGGCAAGCGUUAUUCGGAAUUACUGGGCGUAAAGGGAGAGUAGGCGGCAAGGUAAGCGAAAUGUGAAAGCCUUAGGCUUAACCUGAGGUUUGCAUAACGAACUAUCUAGCUAGAGUACAGGAGAGGAAAGCGGAAUUCCUAGUGUAGCGGUGAAAUGCGUAGAUAUUAGGAAGAACACCAGUGGCGAAGGCGGCUUUCUGGACUGAAACUGACGCUGAGGCUCGAAAGCGUGGGGAGCGAACAGGAUUAGAUACCCGUGUAGUC
RNAcentral lists this ribosomal RNA (443 nucleotides) under uncultured bacterium. RNAcentral's name for it is "partial 16S ribosomal RNA". It matches the Rfam family "Bacterial small subunit ribosomal RNA", at positions 338 to 795 of the family's 1533-position model. The record is from RNAcentral.